GUUCACCCCUGAUGGGCGGGGACACAGGCGGGUCAUCUGUUGUCUGUGAUCGGUUGAAGGUUUGAAACACAAAACAACAGCCUUGUUUGGAUUUACCAGCUGUAGUGUUUUACUGGUUUGUAAGGGAUCUUACUCACUCGUAAUAUUUUCAUAUCACGGCUCAAGAAUGAUCUGCGGCUGAAACCGAAAAACGCUAUCAUCAGGUGAGGACACUGCAUGAUUGCAGUUUAUUGAAUGAAAUUAAAUACCACAGACGAACCAUAAAGAAAUCGACUGAUAUUUUAGAUGCUGUUUUGUCAAUUCGAUCAUAAUUGUGAAUUUUAAUGUCUUCUGUGGCGUGACAUUGAUUGUCUCAGAAGCUCACAGCCUGGAAACCUAAGAUUUCUGCAAACCACCGAGGUCUCACUGUGACCCAAAUACCUAGAUUAUCAUUCCCUAUGAAAAUACAUUAUAGCUUAUUUAAGUGAGUGCUACAACCUCAAUUGCAUGAUAAUUUGACCUUUUUUCCCUGCAGUAGUGCUGUCUGUGUUUAUUUUUUUAGUUCAUAGUUUUCGAUGUGCCUACCUAACUUGGUAAAGGUAAAAUAUUACAAUAAUAAGACAGCAUCAAAAUACUUAGUUUUAAAGUAACCUGAGAGGACACUGUAUUGCAGGGUUUUACAUAGACACACAGUGCAGGAUAUUACAUAGAGCAUUACAGGUCUCAGAAAGGUGCAGGAGAUUCUGGAUGAAGGAGCCCCUCCCCCAUUUAUCAAAAGACAGAUGGGUCCUAACAAUGAAAAUCUGAGGGAGUGGGUACCAUUAUUUUAACCAAGAAUUCUCAUUGGACAGACCUAGUCAGCUGACCCAAACAGCUCAAAUUUGAAAAAUGAUAAUGAAUGAAGAGCUUCUUUAAAUCACCCACACCCAAACAGUCAAUGAGAGAUUAGAGCUAGUCUGACUGAGGGCAGUUAUGAUGCCUUUUAUGAUCCUGCAUAGGCUUAAAAAACAUUUUUAUGAAGAGUGUUUUUCUCAUCUAUAGCAGAUAAAGACUAAACAUCCGAGCUUCCUGCUAUACAAAGAAAAGGAAAAAGGAACAACAGGAAAAUCUCAAGAAAUCAAAAGGAGAAACCAGUGAUGUUCAGAACGUUGACCCGUCUGCUCUUUGGUGGAGAGGAGGAAGCCCCUCAAGAGGUCAAGUCUGGGGAAGUGUUGGAAGAAGAAUGGCUAGUUGUGAGCCAUCAAGGUCAGUUGUGAGGCGUGUUUUUGGUAUAUAUUUUAUUUAACAACAAUACACAAGUUUACACUGGUUCUGACUGUAAAAAGCAAAUCUUUUACAGUCAGUUAUUUAACAUUUUCAUGCAAUUUCACAAUAUUUAUUCACACAGAUAUGUGUGCCUGUUAUACUAUUAAAGAAACAAACAUAAAACAAUCUACUUAACUCAUGUAAUGUUGUUAGAUUUUUUCCAUCUGUUGUCCUUUUUUUUGUUUAGUUAAAGAAUUGUGUGCCUAAAUCUAAUGGAUGUGUGUGCUGGACAUCAAAUCCACACAUUAAAGUGAUGUCCACUUAUAUGAUUAAUAUUGAUUUUGUCCCUACAGAGGCAGUAUCAGCUGAAAACCAAGGAGCAGAGCUGAGUGAAACACAACUAACAUCAAACUCUGCUCAUCAUGAAGACACUGUAGCGGACAUAAAAACUGAUAGCAGGUUAGCAAGCCAUUUACCCUUUACCUUGCAUAAUUUUUAACAUUGAAAAAGGUUCUUUAUUGAAAAAAAAAAGAUCUAAAUUCAUGUAAAUUCAGGUAUACGAGAAAAGAAAUUUGUACUGAAGGUGUGUUUUUCCAAUCUAUUUAACCCCUCAGAGUGCUUUUAUACAUGACUGUGCCUGCUAGGAGCUUAUAAAACACCAGAUAAAGCUACAGCUGCCUUGUUGCUCAUUUUCUGGUAGAGUUAAACUAUUCUGAUUAAAGCUGUGUUACCAUCUUUAAAAGAAAUACUGGAUGUAAUUAGAUCCUCCAUUUAUAGUUACAAUGAACAAAACUUACAACAAGGAGGACCAGAAACAAUUCCUGAAACAUGUAGAUUUAAUGAAAAAAUUGAUGGCCGAGUAGAGAAGAAGUCAAAGAGAGAAAAAACAUCGGUGAGAGCAGUCCUGUGGUGCAGCAUCCUUUAACCACCACUUGGUGGCGUCUGUAACACACAAGCUGUACAACAGGCACCAGGAAAAUACUAUUUUUUUGUUGUAACCUGCUUUUAAUAUGACAUAAGUAAUAAUCCCACAUCCUCAUCAAUAUUCAACUCUCUACCCAAGGCUGUGGUUAGCAGUAAACAUGGUCAUCUAUUUUUUUUAUUUUACUGACUAGAAAUUCAGCAGGCUUUUUUAAAACAUGUUUUCUGUUCAGUUGGUGCACUUUUUUUUUUUUUGCUUUAUUUCCCCUUAACUCCAAAUACACACACACACACACACACACACACACACACACACACACACACACACACACACACACACACACACACAAAAAUACAAACUUAAGGUUAUUAAAUUCUAGUGUUUUCUUUUAUUUGUCUCCAGUGUGUUGGAUCAAGGGACCACAGUUCAGGAAAGUAACAGCAGCAGCUCCAGCCGGACCACCACAGGCCCUGUGUUUCAUCCUAAAGCCUUGCUAGAAGUGACACAAUUAACCUCCGUACAGAAGGCUAAAGCCUGGGCAGACCGGCAUCACAUGACACGUAAUGCCAUUCAGCGCCAAAACCGUGUGCGCCAAGGAGUCCACCAUCAUUCUUUCCCACUCCAACAGCCAGGAUACCGCAACCUCAGCCACUGAGGCCUCUGCUUUUCAAUGCUUGUUGUCGACAGAAAUGUUCACAGGGAAAUAUCUUUCAACAGACAUCAAAGUAAUUAAAAAACAUGUUUGCCACAUAUAUCAGGCUUGUGAAGACUGAAGCUAUACAUCCUGUUUCGAUGUAACCCAUUAUAACACUUGACAACUGUUACCCAGGUAGUAGGCAGCUACAUUUAAACUCGUACUGUAUUUAAAAUCAAGAUAUUCACCUCAUGAAAUAAGAAACACCAUGUGCUCUUGUUUGUGUGUGUGUGUGUAACUUUAUACCUUAGAUUUUAAAGAAUGCAGCCUAUGCAAAUGUACCCUCUAACUUUAUGGAUAAAGUGAUGUGAUUUGAGAAUCGACAUGUAUAACGCUCUCUAUGUUCUUGAUUCAAAACGCUUUUUGGCAAUAAAAUGAUGACUGCAGCUU
RNAcentral lists this long non-coding RNA (3230 nucleotides) under Xyrichtys novacula (pearly razorfish). Lineage: Eukaryota; Metazoa; Chordata; Actinopteri; Labriformes; Labridae. The record is from RNAcentral.